AUGAACGCUGGCGGCGUGCCUAAUACAUGCCAGUCGAGCGAACAGAUGAGGAGCUUGCUCCUCUGACGUUAGCGGCGGCCGGGUGAGUAACACGUGGAUAACCUACCUAUAAGACUGGGAUAACUUCGGGAAACCGGAGCUAAUACCGGAUAAUAUAUUGAACCGCAUGGUUCAAUAGUGAAAGACGGUUUUGCUGUCACUUAUAGAUGGAUCCGCGCCGCAUUAGCUAGUUGGUAAGGUAACGGCUUACCAAGGCAACGAUGCGUAGCCGACCUGAGAGGGUGAUCGGCCACACUGGAACUGAGACACGGUCCAGACUCCUACGGGAGGCAGCAGUAGGGAAUCUUCCGCAAUGGGCGAAAGCCUGACGGAGCAACGCCGCGUGAGUGAUGAAGGUCUUCGGAUCGUAAAACUCUGUUAUUAGGGAAGAACAAAUGUGUAAGUAACUAUGCACGUCUUGACGGUACCUAAUCAGAAAGCCACGGCUAACUACGUG
Molecule: ribosomal RNA, 496 nt
Filed under: uncultured bacterium
Lineage: Bacteria
Description: partial 16S ribosomal RNA
Rfam family: Bacterial small subunit ribosomal RNA
Source: RNAcentral